GUACUUACCUGGCAGGGGGAGACACCAUGAUCAUAAAGGUGGUUCUCCCAGGGCAAGGCUCGGCCAUUGCACUCUGGUCGUGGUGUCUUCUCUGCCGCCUUUUGGCUAGGACUAUGUGUGGUAUCUAUCCUUAUCAGUUGUCAGAGGAGCGCUGAAGCACCUCCUA
Rana temporaria (common frog) is the source of this 166-nucleotide small nuclear RNA. RefSeq annotates it as U1 spliceosomal RNA. The transcript has a single exon. The record is from RefSeq and is a predicted model, not a curated record. NCBI's taxonomy places the organism in Eukaryota, Metazoa, Chordata, Amphibia, Anura, Ranidae.